AACUCAUCUAUGUGCAAAAUAGUGAGAAGAUUUGUAAGUAGAGGUGACAUGCCUAACGAGCCUGGUGAUAGCUGGUUGUCCAGAAAAUGAAUCUAAGUUCAGCUUUAAAGAUACCAAAGUUCAAAUGGAACCCCACUGUAGCUUUAAAAGUUAGUCUAAAAAGGUACACCCUUUUAGAAACGGAUACAACCUUGACUAGAGAGUAAAAUUUAACACUACCAUAGUAGGCCUAAAACAGCCAUCAAUUAAGAAAGCGUUAAAGCUCAACAAACAAAAAUUAAAUAGAUUCCAACAACAAAUGAUUUAACUCCUAGCCCCAAUACUGGACUAAUCUAUUAUAGAAUAGAAGCAAAUAAUGUUAAUAUGAGUAACACAGAAAAAAUUUUCUCCUUGCAUAAAGUCUUAAGUCACGUNCCCUGAAUUAAUACUCUGACCCACUAACAGUCAAUAAAAUAAUCCAACAAUAACAAUUAUGAUUAUACUGUAACCCAACACAGGAGUGCAUCUAAGGAAAGAUU
RNAcentral lists this ribosomal RNA (518 nucleotides) under Bos taurus (domestic cattle). Its description in RNAcentral is "similar to 16S ribosomal RNA". It matches the Rfam family "Bacterial large subunit ribosomal RNA", at positions 777 to 1684 of the family's 2925-position model. Lineage: Eukaryota; Metazoa; Chordata; Mammalia; Artiodactyla; Bovidae. The record is from RNAcentral.